Molecule: long non-coding RNA, 11428 nt
Organism: Triticum aestivum (bread wheat)
Lineage: Eukaryota; Viridiplantae; Streptophyta; Magnoliopsida; Poales; Poaceae
Exons: 5
Source: RefSeq, a predicted model, not a curated record
CGUACGAGACGGACACGGCCGGGGAACGCUCCCAGAUCGCCGCCGCGUAGCCUUUCGCCGCCGGGUUCGACGAGGGAGCCGGGGCCAGUACUGGCCGGGGCACGCAAGCCGGCCUAUAGCCUGUAGAGAGACUGGUUCGGGGUUGUGGGCCAGCGGCGCGGCAACAUCGUGGGUGGUGGGGCGGACGCGUAUCUCUACGACGACCCGGAAGACGCCGCCGCCAUCUCGGCGCUCCUCGGCUCCCACUUCGACGGCGCUAAGGUCGACGCUCAAGUGCCUCCUCGCCCUCAUCUCGCAGGGCUUCUACGUCGCCCACCUCUUCCGGCAGGCGGUCAAGAACGUGCCGGCAUAGUCGCUUGAGGACCUCUACCUGCUCCACUACGCCGGCGAAAAUCGUGCCAGAAAUCCAACAGGGCUACUACCCUCCCCGUCCUCGGGCAAACUGGGGUGUGCCCGAUGCACCAGCAACACAGCAGCCUGGAGCUUAUCCUAGCGCACCACCAUAGUAUGGCCAGCAACCUUAUGGCAGAGCAGCCCCCCUGGCACUGGCUAUGACUACUAUAACCAAUAGCAACAACCCCAACAGCAAUAGUCUGCCACUGGAACUGCUGCACUUGCUGAUGCUAGCAACUACAAUUACAACAAGCCUGCUACUCAUGCUUCACAAGGUUAUGGUGAUUAUAUGUACUCUCAACAGAGUGGUGGGCAUCAAGCUUAUGAUUACUCUGGUUAUCAGACCCAAGGACUAUCUUACUUGCAGCUGCCUGGAUAUGAUCAGCAGAACUAUGGGGCAUCUGGGGCAUCAGCUGCUAACUCAACUCAGGAUGGUGGUACUGCACCAAUUAAAUCUAUGGUGGUCUAGGUGGCGCUGGUCAAGCAUCUUCAGGGCAGCAGACUUCAACUCCAGCCACUGGAGGCCAACCGGGUUAUCCUAAUCAACCACCUAUACUUGUGUUGCUGCAUCAAGCUACACGGUGCAAGGGUCUGCCCCUCGAUCUGGGUUUAAAUCGGCGCUUAAACGAAGGCGUAUUUCUCCUUCACGCCUUCGACGUCGACCUCCCUUUCCCCCUGGUGCAGUACUGUUUAAUCGGGCAGACCUGUUCUGGCCCACAAUACCAUUUCGCUUUUCCUAAAAUCUAGGAAAUCAGUAUCUUUCGAAAGAUUCAAGAACGUUUGAGGAGUGACCAGAACCAUUGAAGACUUUGCUGAGCAAGGCAAGCAACCUACUUUGAUCAUCUUGAACCCAUAUUUACAUUACACUUAGAAUUAUUUUUCAUGCAUAAAGUAUUGUUUACUAGUAUUGCUAUGUUAAGUAAAUUAGCUAGGUUUUAGCUAUGCCAUAUGUGCUUGAUAUUGACACCCCUUUGACAUUCUUAUGCUAAGUAAAUUAGCUAGGGUUUAGCUAUGCCCUAUGUGCUUGAUAUUGAUACCCUCCUUUGGCAUACCUAAUAGACCUCCUUUCUAACCAUGUUACCAUGUACUGGUCACAAAUAAAUGUGGGUCAUAUGUGCAACUUUAAUACUAAUGCUUAGCCAUGCUAGUCGCAUAAAUCAUAGGACUUGGGAAGAAUCUUUGUUAUUCAUAAAUGUUUUAUAAAAAUCCAAGGGUGUCACUAGUGCCCAUGGGAUGAUUAUGAAAAUAAGGUUUUACAAAAUGGAGAUGAAGUGGAGAUUUAGUUAGGUGAUUGUGAUCUUGACGAGAUAGCCAAAGAUGUUUGGUGGAUUAUGAAAAUUUAUGUCUAGUAAAUGAGCAUGGUGGUUAUUAUAUUGGUGGAUAAAUGGAUCUUUAAUAAACUUGAAGCAAUUUGGAUUUAGUUAGGCGAUUAUGAUCUUGAACCAAAUUUCAUGGUGGAUUACGAGAUUUUGAUGCAUUUAUUUAGUUCAUUGUGAUCUUAAGGAGAUAGUCAAAGAUGUUUGGCGGAUUAAUUAAUCUUGGACAAUUUGGAUUUAGUUAGGUGAUUGUGAUAUUGAACCGUAUUUCAUGAUGGAUUAUGACAUUUUAGCUAGAUUUAGUUAUGUGAUUUGAUCUUGAGAAGAUAGUAAAAAAGUUUGGUGGAUUAUGAGAGUUUAGGUAUGGUAUAUGAGCAUGGUGAUUAUUAUAUUGGUGGAUAAAUAGAUCUUUAAUUUUGUUUGGAACAUUUUGAAUUUAGUUAGGUGAUUAUGAUCUUAAACCAAAUUUCACGGUUUAGUUAGGUGAUUGUGAUCUUGACGAGGUAGUAAAGGAUGUUCGGUGGAUUAUGUGAAUUUAGGUCUAGUAGGUGAGUAUGGUGGUUAUUAUAUUGGUGAAUAAGUAAAAUUUUAAUAAACUCAAGAAAAUUUGGAUUUAGUUAGGCGAUUGUGAUCUUGAACCAAAUUUCAUGGUGGAUUACGAGAUUUUAGAUGGAUUUAGUCAGUUGAUUGUGAUCUCGAGGAGAUACUCAAAGAUAUUUGAUGGGUUAAUUAAUCUUAAACAAUUUGGAUUUAGUUAAGCUAUUGUGAUAUUGAACCGAAUUUCACGAUGAUUUAUCUAAUUUUAAGUGGAUUUAAUUAAGUUAUUAUGAUCUUGAGAAGAUGGUCAAAGAUGUUCGGUGGAUGUUAAGAUUUUAGGUCUAGUAUGUCAGCAUGGCAACUAUUAAUAUUGGCAGAUAAACAGACCUUUAAUUUAGUUUAAAACAAUUUGAAUUUAGUUUGGUGAUUGUGAUCUUUUAACCAAAUUCAUGGUGGAUUUUGAUGUUUCGGUUGGAUUUAGUUAGGUGAUUGUGAUCUUGACGAGAUAGUCAAAGAUGUUCGAUGGACUAUGUGAGAAUUUAUGUCUAUUAGUGAGCAUGGUGGUUAUUAUAUUGGUGGAUAAAUGGAUUUUUAGUAAACUUGGAGUAAUUUGGUUUUCGUUAGGCGAUUGUGAUCUUGAACCAAAUUUCAUGGUAAUUACGAGAUUUUAAAGGGAUUUAAUUAGUUGAUUGAGAUCUUGAGGAGAUAGUCAAAGAUGUUUGGUGGAUUAAUUAAUAUAAACAACUUGGAUUUAGUUUGGUGAUUAUGAUAUUGAACCAAAUUUCUUAGUGACUUAUUUAAUAUAAACAAUUUGGAUUUAGUUAGGUGACAGUGAUCUUAACGAGAUAGUCAAAGAUGCUUGGUGAAUUAUGUUUAUUUAGGUCUAGUAAGUGAGCAUGGGGGUUUAGCCUUGAUGGGAAGGUGGUGCAUCAUAAGGACACCUUUAGAUAUUUGGGGUCUAUGCUGCAGAAGGAUGGGAAUAUCAAUGAAGAUGUGAAUCAUCGAAUCAAAGUUGGAUGGAUGCAGUGGCGCCAAACUUCUCGCAUUCUCUAUGACCAAAAGAGUGGCACAAAAGGUAAAAGGCAAGUUCUAUAGGAUGGUGGUUUGACCCGUAAUGUCAUAUGGCGCUGAGUGUUGGCCGACUAAAAGGCGACAUGAUCAACAGUUAGGUGUGGUGAAGAUGCGCAUGUUGAGAUGGAUGUGUGGUCACACAAGGAAGGAUCGAGUCCGGAAUGAUGAUAUACGAGAUAGAGUUGGGGUAGCUCCGAUUGAAGAGAAGCUUGUCCAACAUCGUCUGAGAUGGUUUGGACAUAUUUAGAGCAGGCCUCCGGAAGCACCAGUGCAUUGCGGACAACUAAAGCAUGUCGAUAAUGUCAAGAGAGAUCAGGGUAGACCAAACUUGACAUGGGAGGUGUCCGUAAAGAGGGAUUUGAAGGACUGGAGUAUCACCAGAGAACUAGCCAUGGACAUGGGUGCGCAAAAGCUUGCUAUACAUGUGGCAGAACCAUGAGUUGGUGGCGAGAUCUUAUAAGUUUCAUCUCUAGCCUACCCUAACUUGUUCGGGACUAAAGGCUGUGUUGUUGUUAUUUUAAAUGAGCAUGGUGGUUAUUAUAUUAAUGGAUAAAUGGCACUUUAGUAAACAUGGAGAAAUUCGGAUUUAGUUAGGCGAUUGUGAUCUUGAACAAAUCUCACGGUGGAUUACGGGACUUUCAGUGGAUUUAGUUAGUAGAUUGUGAUCUUGGGAGAUGUCAAAGAUGUUUGGUGGAUUAAGUAAUCUUGAAAAUUUUGGAUUUAGUUAGGUGAUUGUCAUAUUGAACCAAAUUUCUUGGUGAUUUAUUUGAUUUUAGUUGGAUUUAGUUAGGUGAUUGUCAUAUUGAACCAAAUUUCUUGGUGAUUUACUUGAUUUUAGUUGGAUUUAGUUAGUUGAUUGUGUCUUGAAAAGAUAGUCAAAGAUGUUCUCCUACUGUGCGCCCUUGACCUUGACGAUAGGUAGCGCCAUGUUCUCGGGCGCGUCCCGUGGGUAAAAUCCAGGUAUGCGCCAAUUGUCCGAGCUCUUGCUCGCCAUUGGUGGUGCUUGAGCGUGCGGUUAUGGUGUCACCCAGGAAGGGAACAUGGGAUGUGGGAUCAAGACAGCACACAUAGCAACCCGCCACCAGGCAACGGAUGCCCAUCCGGACUUACAGGGAGCGGAGGUGGACACAAAGGUGGAUGUUGAUCUCCAUGGCAGUUUCAAUAGUGCGCUCAUCAGUAAGAGCAGCAUGAGCAAGAAGAUCCUAGAUACACUUCUCUUAGGAAAUAAAGAAGCCAUUAAAGGUAGAAGUAACCUCAAUCUCAAGGAAGUAGCGACUUCUUUAGUAAAUAUGGAGCAAUUACGAGAUUUUUCAAUGGAUUUGGUUGAUUGUGAUCUUGAGGAGCAGAUAGUUAAAGAUGUUCGGUGUAUCAAUUAAUCUUGAAUAAUUUGGAUUUAGCUAGGUGAUUGUGAUAAUGAACCAAAUUUCUCUGUGAUUUAUGAAAUUUUAGUUGGAAUUCCUUAGGUGAUUGUGUCUUGAGAAGAUAAUCAAAGAUAUUUCAUGGAUUAUGAGAUUUUAGGUCUAGUAGAUGAGCAUGGUGAUUAUUAUAUUGAUGGAUAAACAAAUAUUUAAUUUACUUUUGAACAAUUUGGAUUUAGUUAGGUGAUUGUGAUAUUUUAACCUAAUUUUACGGUGGAUUAUAAGGAUUUGGUUGGAUUUAGUUAGUUUAUUGUGAUUUUAACAAGCUAGUAAAAGAUGUUCGGUGGAUUAUGUGGAUUUAGGUCUAGUAGGUGAGCAUGUUGAUUAUUAUAUUGGUGGAUAAAUGAAUCUUUAAUAAAUUUGGAACAAUUUGGAUUUAGUUAGGCGAUUGUGAUUUUGAACCAAAUUUUAUGGUGGAUUGAGAUUUUUUAUGGAUUACAUAGUUGAUUGUGAUCUCGAGGGCAUAAUCAAAGAUGUUUGGUGGACUAACUAUUCUUGAACAAUUUGGAUUUAGUUAGGUGGUUGUGAUACUGAACCGAAUCUCACGCUGGGUUAUGAGAUUUUAGGUGGAUUUAGUUAAGUGAUUGUGUCUUGAGAAUAUAGUCAAAGAUAUUUGCUGGACUAUGAUAUUUUAGGUUUUGUAGAUGAGAAUAAUGAUUAUUUUUUAUGGAUAAAAAGAUCAUUAACUUAGUUUGGAACAGUUUCGAUAUAGUUAGGUGAGUGUUAUUUUUCAACAGAUUCAUGGUGGAUUGGAGGCUUUUUUGGAUUUAGUUAGGUGGAUGUGAUCUUGACGAGAUAGUCAAAGAUGUUUGAUGAAUGAUGUUAAUCUAGGUCUAGUAAAUGAGCAUGGUGGUUUAUUAUAUUGGUGGAUAAAUGGAUCUUUAAUGAACAUGAAGCAAUUUGGAUGUAGUUAGGCGAUUGUGAUCUUGAACAAAUUUGACGGUGGAUUAUAAGAUUUUCAAUAGAUUUAGUCAGUAGAUUGUGAUCUUGAGGAGAUAGUCAAAUAUGUUCGGUGGAUUAAUUAAUUUUGAACAAUUUGGAUUUAGUUAGGUGAUUGUGAUAUUGAACCAAAUUUCUCUAUGGUUUAUGAGAUUUUCGUUGGAUUUAGUUAGGUGAUUCUGUCUUGAGAUGAUAAUCAAAGAUGUUUGGUGGAUUAUGAGAUUUAGGUCUAGUAGAUGUGCAUGGUGAUUACUAUAUUGGUGAAUAAACAAGUAUUUCAUUUAGUUUGGUUAUUGUGACCUUUUGACAAAUUUUUACGGUGGAUUAUGAGGUUUUAGUUGGAUUUACUUAGGUGAUUAGGAUCUUGACGAGCUAGUAAAAGAUGUUUGGUUGAUUAUGUGAAUUUAGGUCUAGUAGGUAAGCAUGUUGGUUAUUAUGUUGAUGGAUAAAUAAUUUUUUAAUGAACUUGGAAAAUUUUGAAUUUAGUUUGGCGAUUGUGAUCUUGAACCAAAUUUUAUGGUGGAUUAUGAGAUUUUUGAUGGAUUAGUUAGUUGAUUGUGAUUUUAAGGAGUAGUAGUCAAAGAUGAUCGGUGUAUUAAUUAAUUUUGAACAAUUAGGCUUAGUUAGGUGAUUGUGAUAUUGAACCAAAUUUUUGUGUGAUUUAUGAGAUUUUAGUCGGGUUUAGUUAGGUGAUUGUGUCUUGAGAUGAUAAUCAAAGAUGUUUAGUGGAUUAUGAGAUUUAGGUCUAGUAGAUGAGCAUGAUGAUUACUAUAUUGGUGAAUAAACAGAUAUGUAAUUUAGUUUGGGACAAUUUGGAUUUAGUUAGGUGAUUGGGAUCUUGAUGAGGAAGUCAAAGAUGUUUGGUAUAUUAAUUAAUCUUGAACAAUUUGGAUUUAGUUAGGUGAUUGUGAUAUUGAACCAAAUUCCUAUGUGAUUUAUGAGAUUCUAGUUGGAUUUAGUUAGGUGGUUUUGUCUUGAGAAGAUAAUCAAAGAUGUUUGGUGGAUUAUGAGAUCUUAGGUCUAAUAGAUGAGCAUGGUGAUUAUUAUAUUGAUGGAUAAACAAAUAUUUAAUUUAGUUUGCAAAUUAGAUUUAGUUAGGUAUUGUGAUCUUUUAACCUUAUUUUACGGUGGUUUAUAAGGUUUUUGUUGGAUUUAGUUAGGUGAUUGUGAUUUUGGAGGGCUAGUAUAAAUGUUCAGUGGAUUAUGUGUAUUUAGGUGUAGUAGAUGGGCAUCUUGAUUAUUAUAUUGGUGAAUAAAUGGAUGGUUAGUAAACAUGGAGCAAUUUGGAUUUAGUUAGGUGAUUGUGAUCUUGAGGAGAUAGUCAAAGAUGUUCGAUGCAUUAUUUUUCUUGAACAAUUUGGAUUUAGUUAGGUGGUUGUGACAUUGAACCAAAUUUCUUUGUGAUUCAUGAGAUUUUAGUUGGAUUUGGUUAGCUGAUUAUGUCUUGAGAUGAUAAUCAAAGAUGAUUGGUGGAUUAUAAGAGUUUAGGUCUAGUAGACGAGCAGGGUGAUUACUAUGUUGGUGAAUAAACAGAUAUUUAAUUUAGUUUGGAACAAUUUGGAUUUUGUUAGGUGAUUGUGAUCUUCUGACCAAUUUUAGGUUUAAUAGAUGAGCAUGGUGAUUAUUAUAUUGGUGGAUAAAUGAAUCUUUAAUAAAUUUAGAACAACUUGAAUUUAAUUAUACGACUGUGAUCUUGAGGAGGAGAUAAUUAAAGAUGUUUGGUGUAUCAAUUAAUCUUGAAUAAUUUGGAUUUAUCUAGGUGAUUGUGAUGUUGAACCAAAUUUCUGUGUGAUUUGUGAAAUUUUAGUUGGAAUUAGUUUGGUGAUUGUGUCUUGAGAAGAUAAUCAAAGAUAUUUCAUGGAUUAUGAGAUUUUAGGUCUAGUAGAUGAGCAUGGUGAUUAUUAUAUUAGUGGAUAAACAAAUAUUUAAUUUAGUUUUGAACAAUUUGGAUUUAGUUAGGUGAUUGUGCUCUUUUGACCUAAUUUUACGGUGGAUUAUAAGGAUUUGGGUGGAUUUAGUUAGUUUAUUGUGAUUUUGACAAGCUAGUAAAAGAUGUUCGGUGGAUUAUGUGGAUUUAGGUCUAGUAGGUGAGCAUGUUGAUUAUUAUAUUGAUGGAUAAAUGAAUCUUUAAUAAAUUUGGAACUAUUUGGAUUUUUAGUUAGCCGAUUGUGAUUUUGAACCAAAUUUUAUGGUGGAUUGAGAUUUUUUAUGGAUUAGUUAGUUGAUUGUGAUCUCGAGGGGAUAGUCAAAGAUGUUUGGUAGACUAACUAUUCUUGAACAAUUUGGAUUUAGUUGGGUGGUUGUGAUACUGAACCAAAUUUCACGCUGGUUAUGAGAUUUUAGGUGGAUUUAGUUAAGUGAUUGUCUUGAGAAUAUAGUCAAAGAUAUUUGCUGGACUAUGAGAUUUUAGGUUUUAUAGAUGAGAAUAGUGAUUAUUUUAUUGGGGGAUAAACAAAUCUUUAAUUUAGUUUGGAACAAUUUUGAUAGUUAGGUGAUUGUUAUUUUUCAACGGAUUUAUGGUGGAUUUGAGGCUUUUUUGGAUUUAGUUAGGUGGAUGUGAUCUUGACGAGAUAGUCAAAGAUGUUUGAUGAAUGAUGUUAAUAUAGGUCUAGUAAAUGAGCAUGGUGGUUUAUUAUAUUGGUGAAUAAAUGGAUCUUUAAUGAACAUGAAGCAAUUUGGAUGUAGUUAGGCAAUUGUGAUCUUCAACAAAUUUCACGAUGGAUUAUAAGAUUUUCAAUAGAUUCAGUCAGUAGAUUGUGAUCUUGAGGAGAUAGUCAAAUAUGUUCGAUGGAUUAAUUAAUUUUGAGCAAUUUGGAUUUAGUUAGGUGAUUGUGAUAUUGAACCAAAAUUCUCUAUGGUUUAUGAGAUUUUCGUUGGAUUUAGUUAGGUGAUUCUGUGUAGAGAUGAUAAUCAAAGAUGAUUGGAGGAUUAUGAGAUUUAGGUCUAGUAGAUGUUUAUGGUGAUUACUAUAUUGGUGAAUAAACAAAUAUUUAAUUUAAUUUGGUGAUUGUGACCUUUUGACAAAUUUUUACGGUGGAUUAUGAGGUUUUAGUUGGAUUUUCUUAGGUGAUUGGGAUCUUGACGAGCUAGUAAAAGAUGUUUGGUUGAUUAUGUGAAUUUAGGUCUAGUAGGUACAUGUUGGUUAUUAUGUUGAUGGAUAAAUACUUUUUUAAUGAACUUGGAAAAUUUUGAAUUUAGUUCGGCGAUUGUGAUCAUCAAACCAAAUUUUAUGGUGGAUUAUGAGAUUUUUGAUGGAUUAGUUAGUUGAUUGUGAUUUUAAGGAGUAGUAGUCAAAGAUGUUCGGUGUAUUAAUUAAUCUUGAACAAUUAGGCUUUAGUUAGGUGAUUGUUAUUGAUCCAAAUUUUUGUGUGAUUUAUGAGAUUUUAGUCGGGUUUAGUUAGGUGAUUGUGUCUUGAGAUGAUAAUCAAAGAUGUUUAGUGGAUUAUGAGAUUUCGGUCUAGCAGAUAAGCAUGAUGAUUACUAUAUUGGUGAAUAAACAGAUAUGUAAUUUAGUAUGGGACAAUUUGGAUUUAGUUAGGUGAUUGGGAUCUUGAUGAGGAAAUCAAAGAUGUUUGGUAUAUAAAUUAAUCUUGAACAAUUUGGAUUCAGUUAGGUGAUUGUGAUAUUGAACCAAAUUCCUAUGUGAUUUAUGAGAUUCUAGUUGGAUUUAGUUAGGUGGUUGUGUCUUGAGAAGAUAGUCAAAGAUGUUUGGUGGAUUAUGAGAUCUUAGGUCUAAUAGAUGAGCAUGGUGAUUAUUAUAUUGAUGGAUAAAGAAAUAUUUAAUUUAGUUUGCAAAUUAGAUUUAGUUAGGUAUUGUGAUCUUUUAACCUUAUUUCACAGUGGUUUAUAAGGUUUUCGUUGGAUUUAGUUAGGUGAUUGUGAUUUUGGAGGGCUAGUAUAAGAUGUUCGGUGGAUUAUGUGUAUUUAGAUGUAGUAGAUGAGCAUCUUGAUUAUUAUAUUGGGUCAUAAAUGGAUGUUUAGUAAACAUGGAGCAAUUUGGAUUUAGUUAGGUGAUUGUGAUCUUGAGGAGAUAGUCAAAGAUGCUCGGUGGAUUAAUUUUUCUUGAACAAUUUGGAUUUAGUUAGGUGGUUGUGACAUUGAACCAAAUUUCUCUGUGAUUUAUGAGAUUUUAGUUGGAUUUGGUUAGCUGAUUAUGUCUUGAGAUGAUAAUCAAAGAUGAUUGGUGGAUUAUAAGAUUUUAGGUCUAGUAGACGAGCAGGGUGAUUACUAUGUUGGUGAAUAAACAAAUAUUUAAUUUAGUUUGGAACAAUUUGGAUUUUGUUAGGUGAUUGUGAUCUUCUGACCAAUUUUAGGUUUAUUAGAUGAGAAUGGUGAUUAUUAUAUUGGUUGAUAAAUGAAUCUUUAAUAAAUUUAGAACAAUUUGAAUUUAGUUAUACGACUGUGAUCUUGAGGAGGAGAUAGUUAAAGAUGUUUGGUGUAUCAAUUAAUCUUGAAUAAUUUGGAUUUAGCUUGGUAAUUGUCAUGUUGAACCAAAUUUUUGUGUGAUUUAUGAAAUUUUAGUUGGAAUUAGUUAGGUGAUUGUUUCUUGAGAAGAUAAUCAAAGAUAUUUCAUGGAUUAUGAGAUUUUAGGUCUAGUAGAUGAGCAUGGUGAUUAUUAUAUUAGUGGAUAAACAAAUAUUUAAUUUAGUUUUGAACAAUUUGGAUUUAGUUAGGUGAUUGUGAUCUUUUGACCUAAUUUUACUGUGGAUUAUAAGGAUUUGGGUGGAUUUAGUUAGUUUAUUGUGAUUUUGACAAGCUAGUAAAAGAUGUUCAGUGGAUUAUGUGGAUUUAGGUCUAGUAGGUGAGCAUGUUGAUUAUUAUAUUGAUGGAUAAAUGAAUCUUUGAUAAAUUUGGAAUAAUUUGGAUUUAGUUAGGCGAAUGUGAUUUUGAACCAAAUUUUAUGGUGGAUUGAGAUUUUUUAUGGAUUAGAUAGUUGAUUGUGAUCUCGAGGGGACAGUCAAAGAUGUUUUGUGGACUAACUAUUCUUGAACAAUUUGGAUUUAGUUAGGUGGUUGUGAUACUGAACCGAAUCUCACACUAGGUUAUGAGAUUUUAGGUGGAUUUAGUUAAGUGAUUGUGUCUUGAGAAUAUAGUCAAAGAUAUUUGCUGGACUAUGAGAUUUUAGAUUUUGUAGAUGAGAAUAAUGAUUAUUUUUUUGAUGGAUAAAAAGAUCAUUAAUUUAGUUUGGAACAGUUUCGAUAUAGUUAGGUGAGUGUUAUUUUUCAAUAGAUUCAUGGUGGAUUGGAGGCUUUUUUGGAUUUAGUUAGGUGGAUGUGAUCUUGACGAGAUAGUCAAAGAUGUUUGAUGAAUGAUGUUAAUCUAGGUCUAGUAAAUGAGCAUGGUGGUUUAUUAUAUUGGUGGAUAAAUGGAUCUUUAAUGAACAUGAUGCAAUUUGGAUGUAGUUAGGCGAUUGUGAUCUUGAACAAAUUUCACGGUGGAUUAUAAGAUUUUCAAUUGAUUUAGUCAGUAGAUUGUGAUCUUGAGGAGAUAGUCAAAUAUGUUCGGUGGAUUAAUUAAUUUUGAGCAAUUUGGAUAUAGUUAGGUGAUUGUGAUAUCGAACCAAAUUUCUCUAUGGUUUAUGAGAUUUUCGUUGGAUUUAGUUAGGUGAUUUUGUCUAGAGAUGAUAAUCAAAGAUGUUGUUGACACCUGAUUUUGGCAAGAUACAGAGUGAAAGGGUUUUCAGCAUGAGAAAGUUUCAUAUCGUCGAGUGGAACAACUUUGAUGUUUAGUCUAUCGCCAUUCGACCUCAUCUCA